UACGUAGGUGGCAAGCGUUGUCCGGAUUCAUUGGGCGUAAAGCGCGCGCAGGCGGUCUUCUACGUCUGGGGUGAAAACCCGGGGCUCAACCUCGGGACUGCCUUGGAUACGGGAAGACUUGAGGAUCGGAGAGGCAAGGGGAAUUCCACGUGUAGCGGUGAAAUGCGUAGAGAUGUGGAGGAACACCUGUGGCGAAGGCGCCUUGCUGGCCGAUUUCUGACGCUGAGGCGCGAAAGCGUGGGGAGCAAACAGG
This 253-nucleotide ribosomal RNA is filed under the name uncultured bacterium. Its description in RNAcentral is "partial 16S ribosomal RNA". It matches the Rfam family "Bacterial small subunit ribosomal RNA", at positions 524 to 776 of the family's 1533-position model. The record is from RNAcentral.